RNAcentral lists this small RNA (27 nucleotides) under Bombyx mori (domestic silkworm). Its description in RNAcentral is "ovarian small RNA-32556". Lineage: Eukaryota; Metazoa; Arthropoda; Insecta; Lepidoptera; Bombycidae. The record is from RNAcentral.
UGAUAUUACCUUUGAUGAGCCUAAACC